ACGGAGGAUGCAAGCGUUAUCCGGAAUUAUUGGGCGUAAAGCGUACGUAGGCUGUUUGAUAAGUCUGUUGUCAAAGCCCGAGGCUCAACCUUGGAUCGGCAAUGGAAACUGUGAGACUAGAGAGAGAUAGGGGCAGGAGGAAUUCCAGGUGUAGCGGUGAAAUGCGUAGAUAUCUGGAAGAACACCAGUGGCGAAAGCGUCCUGCUGGAUCUCAACUGACGCUGAAGUACGAAAGCUAGGGGAGCGAAUGGGAUUAGAUACCCCAGUAGUCCUAGCCGUAAACGAUGGACACUAGGUGUUGGCCGUAUCGACCCGGUCAGUGCCGUAGCUAACGCGUUAAGUGUCCCGCCUGGGGAGUACGGUCGCAAGAUUG
RNAcentral lists this ribosomal RNA (373 nucleotides) under uncultured bacterium. RNAcentral describes it as "bacterial SSU rRNA". It matches the Rfam family "Bacterial small subunit ribosomal RNA", at positions 525 to 896 of the family's 1533-position model. The record is from RNAcentral.